Molecule: ribosomal RNA, 648 nt
Filed under: Filobasidium uniguttulatum
Lineage: Eukaryota; Fungi; Basidiomycota; Tremellomycetes; Filobasidiales; Filobasidiaceae
Description: eukaryotic LSU rRNA
Rfam family: 5.8S ribosomal RNA (bases 188-341)
Source: RNAcentral
GGAAGUAAAAGUCGUAACAAGGUUUCCGUAGGUGAACCUGCGGAAGGAUCAUUAUUGAAUUUAGUUGUCUGGCUUUCGCCGACGACGAUAUCAUUAUCCAUAACACCUGUGCACUGUUGGAUGUUUAAUACAUCCGUUUUACACUAAACAAUAUUGUUACAAAUGUAGUCUUAUUAUAACAUAAUAAAACUUUCAACAACGGAUCUCUUGGCUCUCGCAUCGAUGAAGAACGCAGCGAAAUGCGAUAAGUAAUGUGAAUUGCAGAAUUCAGUGAAUCAUCGAAUCUUUGAACGCACCUUGCGCUCCUUGGUAUUCCGAGGAGCAUGCCUGUUUGAGUGUCAUGAAACUCUCAAACUCUUGUUUUGGAUGCAAAUCCUUGCUUGAGUUUGGACUUGGGUGUUUGCCGGUGAUGAACCGACUCGCCUUAAACAUAUUAGCUGGACUUGUCUAUAUGACUGGUUUGACUUGGCAUAAUAAGUAUUUUGCUAAGGACAUCUUCGGAUGGCCAGUACCUAGGCUCUGUGUCUGCUAACUAAACCAUCACUUGGAGUGCAUCUUUAUGGUGUUGCUUCCUGUGUAUACUUUGACAUCUGACCUCAAAUCAGGUAGGACUACCCGCUGAACUUAAGCAUAUCAAUAAGCGGAGGA